This 588-nucleotide ribosomal RNA is filed under the name Salmonella enterica subsp. enterica serovar Typhimurium. RNAcentral describes it as "partial 23S ribosomal RNA". It matches the Rfam family "Bacterial large subunit ribosomal RNA", at positions 352 to 843 of the family's 2925-position model. The record is from RNAcentral. Lineage: Bacteria; Pseudomonadati; Pseudomonadota; Gammaproteobacteria; Enterobacterales; Enterobacteriaceae.
GCGCGAUACAGGGUGACAGCCCCGUACACAAAAGCGCAUGUGCUGUGAGCUCGAUGAGUAGGGCGGGACACGUGGUAUCCUGUCUGAAUAUGGGGGGACCAUCCUCCAAGGCUAAAUACUCCUGACUGACCGAUAGUGAACCAGUACCGUGAGGGAAAGGCGAAAAGAACCCCGGCGAGGGGAGUGAAAAAGAACCUGAAACCGUGUACGUACAAGCAGUGGGAGCCCCACCACCAAAGCAUUCUCUGGUGUUGAAGGCCCUGCAAAGCAGCAUCGCGGUGGCGGAGCGUCGUUUGCGACGCCCAACACACAAAACAAGCGGUGAAUGCUUUGGGGUGGGGUGACUGCGUACCUUUUGUAUAAUGGGUCAGCGACUUAUAUUCUGUAGCAAGGUUAACCGAAUAGGGGAGCCGGAGGGAAACCGAGUCUUAAUUGGGCGUUAAGUUGCAGGGUAUAGACCCGAAACCCGGUGAUCUAGCCAUGGGCAGGUUGAAGGUUGGGUAACACUAACUGGAGGACCGAACCGACUAAUGUUGAAAAAUUAGCGGAUGACCUGUGGCUGGGGGUGAAAGGCCAAUCAAACCGGGA